Small nucleolar RNA from Hibiscus syriacus, 74 nucleotides. RefSeq annotates it as small nucleolar RNA Z105. NCBI's taxonomy places the organism in Eukaryota, Viridiplantae, Streptophyta, Magnoliopsida, Malvales, Malvaceae. The transcript has a single exon. The record is from RefSeq and is a predicted model, not a curated record.
AAGGCAUAAUGAGAAUGAAUUUAUGAAACAUUAUCUGAUCAUUUUGAUGAUCUAUAAUCUCCUACUCAUUCUGA